NNNCUUCCAGUAGUCAUCUGCUUGUCUCAGAGAUUAAGCUAUGCGUGUCUAAGCCUAUACCUUAAGACAGUGAAACCGCCGACGGCUCAUUAAAUCAGCUAUGGUCCCCUAUAUAUAUAUAUACUACUACUACUACUACUACUAAAUGGAUAACUGAAGUAAUUCUCGAGCUAAUACAUGCAACUAUGUGUGUGUUACUUACGUAUCUGUAGUAAAAGUCAAGAUUGCUAGUUAUUAUAUUCAAGCGCGU
Molecule: non-coding RNA, 250 nt
Filed under: Trichobilharzia regenti
Lineage: Eukaryota; Metazoa; Platyhelminthes; Trematoda; Strigeidida; Schistosomatidae
Description: Eukaryotic small subunit ribosomal RNA
Rfam family: Eukaryotic small subunit ribosomal RNA
Source: Rfam by way of RNAcentral